This 1020-nucleotide long non-coding RNA is filed under the name Rosa chinensis. RNAcentral's name for it is "sRNA RchiOBHm_Chr7g0230691". The record is from RNAcentral. Lineage: Eukaryota; Viridiplantae; Streptophyta; Magnoliopsida; Rosales; Rosaceae.
CUUAAGAGGGCAUGAGAUAGUUGAGGUGGGUAUCUGAAAUUGGAACACGUUAGCCUUGGUCAGUCACGCGUCCACACCUCCUGCCUACAACGCUCAGCACCUCACCGACAGCCUCCUCUACCUAUAUCUCUAGAUUUUUCCGUCACUUGCAUGCCAACCAUACUCCUUUAGUUCUCAGAACCAGAGGUUACACCCACUAAUCUCGUCAGCAUCCACCUAAAACCCAAACCACCUUUCCUACCCAACCUUGCCAAGAACGAAGAAACCAGCCAUGGCAACGGGUUAGAAGCCACUGAAGUCCCUAUCUUUUUCUGUUGCCGAGUGUAGAAGCUUGGGCUUUGGAAAUUAGACUGAGAUCGGUUCCCUCCUAAGGUUUGGAAUUGGGGAGAAGUAGAGAAUUGGAGCUGGAGUUAAUCGAAAGUCUUUGUCAGCUGAAAGGUGGAAUUGUGCAGUACAUAAAUUGAGGAAGAAGGUUUCUGGGUGAAGGUAGUGUUGACGGCAACUGACCAAAUUGAGUGACCCAGGCUUAAUCAACGACGGUGAUAACUCGGAGAUUGCCUAAGCAUGGAUUCCAGGAACUGAGCAGGAGCUAGCUGAGGACCAGACUUAGACACUAGGGUGUUGGCAUCGUCAAGUUGUGUAUAUCUUCUUUUGGACUUGACUGUUGGUUUGGCAGGUGUUGAUCGGUCUCCCUUCUUUUGAAAUUGUGAUUGUGACUUGGUUUUGUUGUGGGAACCUUGUAAAUUUGUUAUUAUCCGCCUGCCUAUCUUUUGGUGUGUGUUACUUAGCGUGAAUCUGAAACCCGAACCUUGGACUCAUGGCUUUUGUGGAAUGUAAAUAAAGUACUCUUUUGUUGUAAAAUCUUUACGCUUCCGAAUCGUACUCUCAACCUCAAUCGUAAACGUUUUCUCACCACAAUUCUAAAAGGCCUUGCAAGCUUUUGUGGCAUGGAUUUGUGGCACAAGCUGCAGACUCAUGUUCAGAGGCUUGCGGCGCUGUAACGUAAUCCUUCCGGGGCGU